Leopardus geoffroyi (Geoffroy's cat) is the source of this 214-nucleotide long non-coding RNA. RefSeq lists it as uncharacterized. The transcript has 2 exons. The record is from RefSeq and is a predicted model, not a curated record. Lineage: Eukaryota; Metazoa; Chordata; Mammalia; Carnivora; Felidae.
GCUGCAUCUCUUUGGGUCUGUGCUCCUCCUGUGUCCCCGUUUGAGGACGUGUCUUCAAGGGAAAUGCAGCUGUGAUACCCGCCAUGAAGUUGACCUUUCUCGUUUUGCUGGAGGGAAGGGCCGGUCAGCUGCAAGUUACUACGCACGCACACAUCACUUACGACAACAGAUACGUUUUUCACUGUACUUGUGAUAAAAUUAUGAAGGAAAGCAA